RNAcentral lists this transfer RNA (71 nucleotides) under Caldilineaceae bacterium. Its description in RNAcentral is "tRNA-Gly". It matches the Rfam family "tRNA". Rfam says of the family: Transfer RNA (tRNA) molecules are approximately 80 nucleotides in length. Their secondary structure includes four short double-helical elements and three loops (D, anti-codon, and T loops). Further hydrogen bonds mediate the characteristic L-shaped molecular structure. tRNAs have two regions of fundamental functional importance: the anti-codon, which is responsible for specific mRNA codon recognition, and the 3' end, to which the tRNAs corresponding amino acid is attached (by aminoacyl-tRNA synthetases). tRNAs cope with the degeneracy of the genetic code in two manners: having more than one tRNA (with a specific anti-codon) for a particular amino acid; and 'wobble' base-pairing, i.e. permitting non-standard base-pairing at the 3rd anti-codon position. The record is from RNAcentral. Lineage: Bacteria; Bacillati; Chloroflexota; Caldilineae; Caldilineales; Caldilineaceae.
GCGGCCAUGGUGUAACGGUAGCACAAAUGCUUCCCAAGCAUUUAGCACGGGUUCGAAUCCCGUUGGCCGCU